RNAcentral lists this ribosomal RNA (457 nucleotides) under uncultured bacterium. RNAcentral's name for it is "partial 16S ribosomal RNA". It matches the Rfam family "Bacterial small subunit ribosomal RNA", at positions 338 to 795 of the family's 1533-position model. The record is from RNAcentral.
CCUACGGGAGGCAGCAGUGGGGAAUAUUGCACAAUGGGGGAAACCCUGAUGCAGCGACGCCGCGUGAGUGAAGAAGCGGUUCGGCGCGUAAAGCGCUGUCAGCGGGGAAGAAACACGGUUCGCGAGAGCCGCGGACGGUACCCGACCAAGAAGCACCGGCUAACUACGUGCCAGCAGCCGCGGUAAUACGGAGGAUGCGAGCGUUAUCCGGAUUUAUUGGGUUUAAAGGGUGCGUAGGCGGAUUUUUAAGUCAGCGGUAAAAUGUCCGGGCUAAACCCGGGCCGGCCGUUGAAACUGGGGAUCUUGAGUGGGCGAGAAGUAUGCGGAAUGCGUGGUGUAGCGGUGAAAUGCAUAGAUAUCACGCAGAACUCCGAUUGCGAAGGCAGCAUACCGGCGCCCGACUGACGCUGAGGCACGAAAGCGUGGGGAUCGAACAGGAUUAGAUACCCCGGUAGUC